UACAGAGGGUGCAAGCGUUGCUCGGAAUUAUUGGGCGUAAAGGGUAGGUAGGUGGUCUCAUUUGUCCGGGGUGAAAGCCUUGAGCUUAACUCAAGAAGUGCCCCGGAAACGGUGAGACUAGAGUCUUGGAGAGGGUCGUGGAAUUCCCGGUGUAGCGGUGAAAUGCGUAGAGAUCGGGAGGAACACCAGAGGCGAAGGCGGCGACCUGGACAAGUACUGACACUCAACUACGAAAGCGUGGGGAGCAAACAGG
Molecule: ribosomal RNA, 253 nt
Filed under: uncultured bacterium
Lineage: Bacteria
Description: partial 16S ribosomal RNA
Rfam family: Bacterial small subunit ribosomal RNA
Source: RNAcentral